This 57-nucleotide transfer RNA is filed under the name Rattus norvegicus (Norway rat). It matches the Rfam family "tRNA", at positions 8 to 63 of the family's 71-position model. From Rfam's summary of the family: Transfer RNA (tRNA) molecules are approximately 80 nucleotides in length. Their secondary structure includes four short double-helical elements and three loops (D, anti-codon, and T loops). Lineage: Eukaryota; Metazoa; Chordata; Mammalia; Rodentia; Muridae. The record is from Rfam by way of RNAcentral.
UGGCUCAAUGGUAAGAGCACUGACUACUCUUCCAGAGGUCCUGGGUUCAAAUCCCAG